AGGCUGUCUGGCUAGAACUUCAG
This 23-nucleotide non-coding RNA is filed under the name Cricetulus griseus (Chinese hamster). The record is from RNAcentral. Lineage: Eukaryota; Metazoa; Chordata; Mammalia; Rodentia; Cricetidae.